AAGUCCAAAGCAACAGGUCUGUGAAGAGAGAGAGAGAGAGAGAGAGAGCGCUCUAUCAAGCUGUGACUGCCCGGUUUUCUCUGAAGAUCUGAGAGGAAAAGAUACUGAGACCAUUUUGGAGCAUUUUGGAGCGACUCAACUUGGGAAAAGAAUGAGAGAAGGAAGCCUGACAUCCUACGUGAAGAGCAUUCUAUAAGAGCAUAAGAAUUUGCCAGGC
Long non-coding RNA from Callorhinchus milii (elephant shark), 217 nucleotides. RefSeq lists it as uncharacterized. NCBI's taxonomy places the organism in Eukaryota, Metazoa, Chordata, Chondrichthyes, Chimaeriformes, Callorhinchidae. The transcript has 3 exons. The record is from RefSeq and is a predicted model, not a curated record.